This 87-nucleotide transfer RNA is filed under the name Nitrococcus sp. Its description in RNAcentral is "tRNA-Leu". It matches the Rfam family "tRNA". From Rfam's summary of the family: Transfer RNA (tRNA) molecules are approximately 80 nucleotides in length. Their secondary structure includes four short double-helical elements and three loops (D, anti-codon, and T loops). The record is from RNAcentral. Lineage: Bacteria; Pseudomonadati; Pseudomonadota; Gammaproteobacteria; Chromatiales; Ectothiorhodospiraceae.
GCCGGGAUGGCGGAACUGGUAGACGCGCCGGACUCAAAAUCCGGUCCCCGCGAGGGGGUGCGAGUUCGACUCUCGCUCCCGGCACCA